AGAGAGAGACAUGCGCGCAUAUCAAUAAGCGGAGGAAAAGAAACUAACAAGGAUUCCCUUAGUAACGGCGAGUGAAGCGGGAAGAGCUCAAAUUUGAAAUCUUCAAGGUUUUACCUUGACGAAUUGUAGUUUAAAGAAGUGUUUUCUGCUGAAGUUUUGGUAAAAGUUCUUUGGAAUAGGACAUCAUAGAGGGUGAGAAUCCCGUAUUUGACCAUUAUUUUCAGCUUUGUGAUACACUUACAAAGAGUCGGAUUGUUUGGGAAUGCAGUCCAAAAUGGGUGGUAAAUUUCAUCUAAAGCUAAAUAUUGGCGAGAGACCGAUAGCGAACAAGUACCGUGAGGGAAAGAUGAAAAGAACUUUGAAAAGAGAGUUAAACAGUACGUGAAAUUGUCAAAAGGGAAGCGUUUGACACCAGUGUUGUUUUCUCGAAAAUCAAUUAAAAAUGGCUCGAUUUUGUAUUGCUGAGACCUUAAAAGCUCACUGUACAUUUUUCGUGUCUUUUUUAAUGCACUUUUCGUUUAACAAGUCAACAUCAGUUUCUUUUGUUGUAAAAGGGUCAUUGGAAGGUGGCCUUCUUUUCGGAGAAAGUGUUUAUAGCCUUUGGCCUCUGCAAUCGGAAGAGACUGAGGUCUGCAGCGUAGACUCUUCGGGGUUAGAUACAUUUGUGCUAAGUUAUAGCUUUUUAUAGACAACUUGUUGACUAUAAUUAGUCUUGUAGCUUACUCGCUUAUGCUAUUUUACCUACGCUUAGGAUGUUGAAGUCAUCGUAUCGCGC
This 775-nucleotide ribosomal RNA is filed under the name uncultured Neocallimastigales. RNAcentral describes it as "partial large subunit ribosomal RNA". It matches the Rfam family "Eukaryotic large subunit ribosomal RNA", at positions 23 to 645 of the family's 3401-position model. Lineage: Eukaryota; Fungi; Neocallimastigomycota; Neocallimastigomycetes; Neocallimastigales. The record is from RNAcentral.